This 834-nucleotide long non-coding RNA is filed under the name Parus major (Great Tit). RNAcentral describes it as "lncRNA (ENSPMJG00000004222.1)". Lineage: Eukaryota; Metazoa; Chordata; Aves; Passeriformes; Paridae. The record is from RNAcentral.
UUUUCCCCAUUCCCAUGGAAUUUUCCUUGGAUUUUUCCCAUUCCCACGGAUUUUUCCCAAAUUCCCGUGGAUUUUUCCUGAAUUCCCGUGGAUUUUCCCCAUUUUAUUGGAUUUUUCCCGAAUUCCCGUGGAUUUUCCCCGUUUUGGGCCUCCCCCGGCUCAGACCGAUCCCGUUGGAAUUCGGGAUCCGGGGAAGGUUCCAGAAGGAAUUCGGGGAUCCCUGGGAAAUCCCAGCCUGGGAAUUGGCCCAGUUCGUCCCAGUCACUCCCAGUCUGUCCCAGUCCAUCCCAGUUCCAUCCCAGUUUGUCCCAGUUCAUCCCAGUUUAUCCCAGUCCCAUCCCAGUCUGUCCCAGUUUAUCCCAGUCCAUCCCAGUCUGUCCCAGUCCAUCCCAGUCUGUCCCAGUCCAUUCCAGUUUGUCCCAGUCCAUCCCAGUUCAGUUCCAGUUCAGUCCCAGUUCAUCCCAGUUCAAUCCCAGUUCACUCCCAGUCCCUCCCAGUCCCUCCCAGUUCCAUCCCAGUCCCAUCCCAGUCCAUCCCAGUUCCAUCCCAGUCCCUCCCAGUCCAUCCCAGUCCAUCCCAGUCCAUCCCAGUUCCAUCCCAGUCCCUCCCAGUUCCCGGCGGUGCCCGCGGGGAUUUUGCACAAGAAAAGCGGCGGCGGCGGAGGGGGAGGGGCUGGAAAUGGGGAAAUUUGGGAAAUUUGGGAUGGGGGAGGGACUGGGAUGGACUGGGAUGGACUGGGAUGGACUGGGAUAAACUGGGAUGGACUGGGAUGGACUGGGAGCGAACUGGGAUGGGACUGGGAUGGACUGGGAUGGAACUGGGACGGAACUGGGA